Long non-coding RNA from Pteropus alecto (black flying fox), 1749 nucleotides. RefSeq lists it as uncharacterized. The record is from RefSeq and is a predicted model, not a curated record. NCBI's taxonomy places the organism in Eukaryota, Metazoa, Chordata, Mammalia, Chiroptera, Pteropodidae. The transcript is spliced from 2 exons.
GGGUUUUUAUCAUGCAGAUUGCCUCUUCUUUCUAUGGGAGAUGGAGAGGGAACUAUGUGACAGAUUACCUCAUUGGUGUUGACCAUAAAAUUCCAGACUGGUUAAUUAAAAUUAUGUUUCUGGGAGAAGCUGAAAUACCAAUUAGGUCAGGUAUUAAAUCUAGGUUUGGUAUCAUGGGCUUUAGCACAAUGAUGCCAUCUUGGGCCAGUGGUUUUCUCUUUAACAUCGGCUACUACAAAAGGGCAUUGAACCUUAUGGGACGAACUAGUCCAGUAAAUACAAUCUUUUUUUCUAACAGGCUUUAUGAUACGUUGCUUCAAGGAGUCUCUUUACAAGAACAAAGAUGAAGUAAAAACACUAUGGCCACUAGGGAACACACUGCCUUACUUCUUACUUGGAAAAAAAAAUUAUUAGCUGGAAGUUACUUAUCUGUUCACAUUCAUAACCUUUGGACCAAUGGCAUUUCAACCUCUGCCAGACCUGAUGCCAGAAAAACGGAGCUGAAGAAAAGUCAUUGAGCUGGCACAAUAAAUAAAUGAUUGAAGGCAACAGGGAUUGAAGUUUCAUCGUUAUCAGUUUCAGUGGGGACGUGAAAAUGCUUCUCUGAAAAGCUGCACAAAAAUAUCUCAAGGAGACCGAAUGCUCACCGCACUGGCUAACCAUAAAAGAUGGAAAUUUCAUUUUUGCCACAUUUUCAACCCUUUUUUCACUUAGUACGUGGAAGAGCCAGAUGCCAUAAGAAAAGGCUUUGGAGGGGAAAAAAAGAGACAAAAUAACCAGUGAAUGCCUGGGAAAAUUCACAGAAGAGCAAGAUCUUAUAUUCAGAGCAGAUUGCAUUUACAAAGAAAGGACUGUAAAUGGAAAUUAAGCAAAUUGGAUCUUAUUUUCAGAAAAUAUAAAAAUAAAGAACAUAUUCCCAACUCAGGGCCUGAGUUAAUUUCUUUAGCAAAACCUUUCAACAUGAUGCCUAAUAAACUAGUAUGUAUAUCACCCUAAGAACUUUCAUGAAAAAAUCAUUAACCAAAAAUUGCAUUUAAUAUGUGGAAGCACAUGGUAUACGAUACAGAAUUAUUUUACUUCAUAAUCUCUGCCUAUCUAUUCAAUAACAAAACCUAAAGUGAAAGGACCUUUUUCAAGUCCUUGAAUCCAGGAGGGCAUCUGUGGGGAGAUUUUCAAAGACAUCUUUGGAAAGGCUGGAAGUAAUAUGCAGUUACCUGGUAGUUUGGGGGGACAUUGGUCCAGUCACCUGUGUUUUGCUUCUUUCUUUUCAUUGCUGCAAAUUUUUCUGUCAGGAUCUGAGACAUUGGAGAGAUUAAAUUGUUGAUUUUUUUUUCCUUCUUUGAAAUCAAGGUCUUCCUGUUCUCCUGAGUUAUCAUCUCCCUGGCACUAGCUGCUUCCCAUUGUGCCUGAUGCUGUGAAUCAGCCUUGGAUUUUCUACCCUUUGAUCCUUCAUUGAGUUGUUGUUUCACAGUAUCAAAAAGACUCGAAAGCUAUAACUUGAAUAGUGGCCAUACUCAAAGGAACACUAUGCCAGACUUGAUCUUGAAUACACAAAGUCAAAACCCCUUCCAUUUAAGACAAAACCUUCUGUUUAACCUGAUAGUAAGGGAAUGAAACUGUCCUUAAAAGACUGAUUUUUCUUUCUAGCUACGUCUGAAGAUUUUAAGAAUUGAUAUUAUGGUUGAUUGAUUGUGAUUGUAUAAUGUACACAAAAUUACAAUUUAUAAAUAAAGAUAAAAAUAAAAUCCA